UUUUUUUGUUUUUCUGAUUUUCAUUUUAUUUCAUUUGAUUUUCAUUAAUUCAUAUUAAUUUUAAUAUUGAUCCAAAAAAAUGAGAGUUCCAUCAAAAAAAUUUUAAAUAAAUUCCUCUUUCAUAUUUUGAAUUAAAAUUAUUUUUUGGAUCAUUAUUAAUAUUUUUCAUGAUUUAAUGGAUUUUUUGAAUAUUUUAAAUUGUUU
This 204-nucleotide long non-coding RNA is filed under the name Lathyrus oleraceus (garden pea). RNAcentral's name for it is "Pisum sativum (pea) long non-coding RNA (PSAT_LNC006293)". The record is from RNAcentral. Lineage: Eukaryota; Viridiplantae; Streptophyta; Magnoliopsida; Fabales; Fabaceae.